UACGGGGGGGCAAGCGUUGUUCGGAAUUACUGGGCGUAAAGGGCUCGUAGGCGGCCAACUAAGUCGGAUGUGAAAUCCCCAGGCUUAACCUGGGAACUGCAUCCGAUACUGGAUGGCUUGAAUCCGGGAGAGGGAUGCGGAAUUCCAGGUGUAGCGGUGAAAUGCGUAGAUAUCUGGAGGAACACCGGUGGCGAAGGCGGCAUCCUGGACCGGCAUUGACGCUGAGGAGCGAAAGCCAGGGGAGCAAACGGG
This 252-nucleotide ribosomal RNA is filed under the name uncultured bacterium. RNAcentral's name for it is "partial 16S ribosomal RNA". It matches the Rfam family "Bacterial small subunit ribosomal RNA", at positions 524 to 776 of the family's 1533-position model. The record is from RNAcentral.